GAUGAAGAACGCAGCGAAAUGCGAUAAGUAAUGUGAAUUGCAGAAUUCAGUGAAUCAUCGAAUCUUUGAACGCACCUUGCGCCCUUUGGCUAUUCCGAAGGGCAUGCCUGUUUGAGUAUCAUGAACACCUCAACUCUCAUGGCUUGCCAUGAUGAGCUUGGACUUUUGGGGGUCUUGCUGGCCUGUGGUCAGCUCCUCUCAAAUGAAUUAGCCUGCCAGUGUUUGGUGGCAUCACAGGUGUGAUAACUAUCUACGCUUGUGGUUUUCCACCAGGUAACCUUCAGUGAUGAAGGUUCGCUGGGGCUCAUAGACGUCUCUCCUCAGUGAGGACAGCUCUUUGAACGUUUGAUCUCAAAUCAGGUAGGACUACCCGCUGAACUUAAGCAUAUCAAUAAGCGGAGGA
This 403-nucleotide unclassified non-coding RNA is filed under the name soil metagenome. RNAcentral describes it as "partial contains 5.8S ribosomal RNA, internal transcribed spacer 2, and large subunit ribosomal RNA". The stretch from base 1 to 121 matches the Rfam family "5.8S ribosomal RNA", at positions 35 to 154 of the family's 154-position model. The record is from RNAcentral.